CCCAGGGGCCAUACCACCCUGAACGCGCCCGAUCUCGUCUGAUCUCGGAAGCUAAGCAGGGUCGGGCCUGGUUAGUACUUGGAUGGGAGCCUCAUAUUUCUUAUCUAUAAAGGAAAAUAAUAUUCUGUACCUUGAA
RNAcentral lists this ribosomal RNA (136 nucleotides) under Neogale vison (American mink). The record is from RNAcentral. Lineage: Eukaryota; Metazoa; Chordata; Mammalia; Carnivora; Mustelidae.